AUUACCACCGAGCGGCGG
RNAcentral lists this small nuclear RNA (18 nucleotides) under Arabidopsis thaliana (thale cress). RNAcentral describes it as "snRNA_06812". Lineage: Eukaryota; Viridiplantae; Streptophyta; Magnoliopsida; Brassicales; Brassicaceae. The record is from RNAcentral.